RNAcentral lists this antisense RNA (507 nucleotides) under Actinoplanes campanulatus. RNAcentral describes it as "Saccharopolyspora sRNA 350". It matches the Rfam family "Saccharopolyspora sRNA 350". The record is from Rfam by way of RNAcentral. Lineage: Bacteria; Bacillati; Actinomycetota; Actinomycetes; Micromonosporales; Micromonosporaceae.
UUCGCGGUGUACGCCCAGAUCGGGUCGGCCUCGAUCAGCACCCGCUCGCCGAACACCUCCCCGUCGGCCAUCACGCCCAGGCUCAGCGGGUCACCGUAGGCGCCGACGCCCACCUUGACGACCUUGCCGUGCGCGAUCAGGUACAUGUUGUCGGCCACCGACCCGAACUCGACGAUCACCUGCCCCGGCUCGUACUCCUGCUGCUCGAACCGGCCCGCGAUCCCAUUCAGCAGCUCCAUGUCGUCGAUCCCGGCGAGCACCGCGAUCUCCCGCAGCUCGUCCGGCACCACCUGCACCGUCGAACCGGUGUUGAUGAAGGUGAGCCGGCCGUCGCCGAUCCGGUAGGUCAUCCGGCGGUUCACCCGGUAGGCGCCACCUUUCACCUCCGUCCACGGCAGCUUGCGCAGCAGCCACCGUGAGGUGAUCUCCUGCAUCUGCGGGACCGACUUGGUGGUGUUGGUCAGAUUCCGGGCCGCCGUGGUGCUCAGGCUCUGCUGGUACUGCUGG